GACGAACGCUGGCGGCGUGCUUAACACAUGCAAGUCGAACGGAAAGGCCCUGCUUUUGUGGGUUGCUCGAGUGGCGCACGGGUGAGUAACACGUGAGUAACCUGCCCUUGACUUUCGGGUAACUUCAGGGAACUGCGGCUCAUACCGGAUAGGAGCUCCUGCUGCAUGGUGUGGGUUGGUAAGUUUCGGCGGUUGGGGAUGGACUCGCGGCUUCUCAGCUUGUUGGUGGGGUAGUGGCUUACCAAGGCUUUGACGGCUAGCCGGCCUGAGAGGGUGACCGGCCACAUUGGGACUGAGAGACGGACCAGACGCCAACGUGAGGCAGCAGGGGGGAAUAUGGCAGAAUGGGCGGAAGCCUGAGGCAGCAACGCCGCGUGCGGGAUGACGUCCUUCGGGGGGUAAACAGCUGUCGCCGGUGACGAAGCGUGAGUGACGGUAAUGGGUAAAGAAGCACCGGCUAACUACGUG
This 468-nucleotide ribosomal RNA is filed under the name uncultured bacterium. RNAcentral's name for it is "partial 16S ribosomal RNA". It matches the Rfam family "Bacterial small subunit ribosomal RNA", at positions 28 to 507 of the family's 1533-position model. The record is from RNAcentral.